RNAcentral lists this ribosomal RNA (440 nucleotides) under uncultured bacterium. RNAcentral's name for it is "partial 16S ribosomal RNA". It matches the Rfam family "Bacterial small subunit ribosomal RNA", at positions 338 to 795 of the family's 1533-position model. The record is from RNAcentral.
CCUACGGGAGGCAGCAGUGGGGAAUAUUGCACAAUGGGGGAAACCCUGAUGCAGCGACGCCGCGUGAGUGAAGAAGUAAUUCGUUAUGUAAAGCUCUAUCAGCAGGGAAGUAAAUGACGGUACCUGAGUAUGAAGCCCCGGCUAACUACGUGCCAGCAGCCGCGGUAAUACGUAGGGGGCAAGCGUUAUCCGGAUUUACUGGGUGUAAAGGGAGCGUAGACGGCAGGUCAAGUCCGGAGUGAAAGGUUGGGGCGCAACCCACAGACUGCUCUGGAAACUGGACGGCUGGAGUGCAGGAGAGGUAAGUGGAAUUCCUAGUGUAGCGGUGAAAUGCGUAGAUAUUAGGAGGAACACCAGUGGCGAAGGCAGCUUACUGGACUGUAACUGACGUUGAGGCUCGAAAGCGUGGGGAGCAAACAGGAUUAGAUACCCCGGUAGUC